GUUGGCUUAGAAGCAGCCACUCAUUUAAAGAGUGCGUAAUAGCUCACUAGUCGAGAGAUCCUGCGCCGAAAAUGUCCGGGGCUCAAACUUACCACCGAAGCUACGGGCUUGCGUAAGCAAGCGGUAGGGGAGCGUCGUAAUCGGGCUGAAGUCGUACCGUAAGGAGCGGUGGACUGAUUACGAGUGAGAAUGUUGGCAUUAGUAGCGAGAUGUAGGUGAGAAUCCUACAGGCCGAAUAUCUAAGGUUUCCUCAGGAAGGCUCGUCCGCUGAGGGUUAGUCGGGACCUAAGCCGAGGCCGAAAGGCGUAGGCGAUGGACAAUCGGUUGAUAUUCCGAUACCACUACCAUCGUUAUUAUCGAGGGUGUGACGGAGAAGGAUAGUGUGUGCUAGCGAUUGGAAAUGCUAGUCUAAGCGUUUAGGGAGUUACGGUAGGCAAAUCCGCUGUAACAAUUCUGAGGCGUGAUGGGGAAGGCCAUAUAGGCCGAAGUACAUGAUUCCAUGCUUCCAAGAAAAGCAUCUAGAGAGAGAAGUAGUGCCCGUACCGCAAACCGACACAGGUAGAUGAGGAGAGAAUCCUAAGGCCGGCGGAAGAAUUGCAGUUAAGGAACUAGGCAAAUUGACCCCGUAAGUUCGCGAGAAGGGGUGCCUGCGAGAGCAGGCCGCAGAGAAUAGGCCCAAGCAACUGUUUAGCAAAAACACAGGUCUCUGCUAAAGCGUAAGCUGAUGUAUAGGGGCUGACGCCUGCCCGGUGCUGGAAGGUUAAGGGGAACACUUAGCGCAAGCGAAGGUGUGAACUUAAGCCCCAGUAAACGGCGGCCGUAACUAUAACGGUCCUAAGGUAGCGAAAUUCCUUGUCAGGUAAGUUCUGACCCGCACGAAUGGCGUAAUGACUUGGGCACUGUCUCAACUGCAAAUCCGGCGAAGUUGUAGUGCGAGUGAAGAUGCUCGCUACCCGCGAUUGGACGGAAAGACCCCGUAGAGCUUUACUGUAGCUUAGCAUUGAAUUCCGGUAUUGUCUGUACAGGAUAGGUGGGAGACUGGGAAACUAGGGCGUCAGCCUUAGUGGAGUCAACCUUGGGAUACCACCCUGACAGUACUGGGGUUCUAACAGGACGCCAUGAAUCUGGUGACUGGACAUUGUUAGGUGGGCAGUUUGACUGGGGCGGUCGCCUCCUAAAAAGUAACGGAGGCGCCCAAAGGUUCCCUCAGAACGGUCGGAAAUCGUUCGUAGAGUGCAAAGGCAGAAGGGAGCCUGACUGCGAGACAUACAAGUCGAGCAGGGACGAAAGUCGGGCUUAGUGAUCCGGUGGUACCUCGUGGGAGGGCCAUCGCUCAACGGAUAAAAGCUACCUCGGGGAUAACAGGCUGAUCUCCCCCAAGAGUCCACAUCGACGGGGAGGUUUGGCACCUCGAUGUCGGCUCGUCGCAUCCUGGGGCUGUAGUAGGUCCCAAGGGUUGGGCUGUUCGCCCAUUAAAGCGGCACGCGAGCUGGGUUCAGAACGUCGUGAGACAGUUCGGUCCCUAUCCGUCGCGGGCGUAGGAAAUUUGAGAGGAGCUGUCCUUAGUACGAGAGGACCGGGAUGGACUGACCUCUGGUGCACCAGUUGUUCCGCCAGGAGCAUGGCUGGGUAGCUAAGUCGGGAAGGGAUAAACGCUGAAAGCAUCUAAGCGUGAAGCCUCCCUCAAGAUGAGAUUUCCCAUAGCAUAAGCUAGUAAGACCCCUUGAAGAACACAAGGUUGAUAGGUCAGAGGUGUAAGUGCGGUAACGUAUUUAGCUGACUGAUACUAAUAGGUCGAGGGCUUGACCAA
Molecule: ribosomal RNA, 1810 nt
Filed under: human gut metagenome
Description: bacterial LSU rRNA
Rfam family: Bacterial large subunit ribosomal RNA
Source: RNAcentral